RNAcentral lists this ribosomal RNA (252 nucleotides) under uncultured bacterium. Its description in RNAcentral is "partial 16S ribosomal RNA". It matches the Rfam family "Bacterial small subunit ribosomal RNA", at positions 100 to 354 of the family's 1533-position model. The record is from RNAcentral.
CGGGGUGAGUAACACGUGGGUAAUCUGCCUUAUACAGGGGGAUAGCAGUUAGAAAUGACUGCUAAUACCGCAUAAGCGCACGGAAACGCAUGUUUCUGUGUGAAAAACUCCGGCAGUAUAAGAUGAGCCCGCGUCUGAUUAGCUGGUUGGUGGGGUAACGGCCUACCAAGGCGACGAUCAGUAGCCGGCCUGAGAGGGUGAACGGCCACAUUGGGACUGAGACACGGCCCAAACUCCUACGGGAGGCAGCAG